Molecule: ribosomal RNA, 303 nt
Filed under: uncultured beta proteobacterium
Lineage: Bacteria; Pseudomonadati; Pseudomonadota; Betaproteobacteria
Description: bacterial SSU rRNA
Rfam family: Bacterial small subunit ribosomal RNA
Source: RNAcentral
CAUAAUCUCUGAGGAGAAAAGCAGGGGAUCGCAAGACCUUGCACUUUUGGAGCGGCCGAUGUCUGAUUAGCUAGUUGGUGGGGUAAUGGCCUACCAAAGCUUCGAUCAGUAGCUGGUCUGAGAGGACGACCAGCCACACUGGGACUGAGACACGGCCCAGACUCCUACGGGAGGCAGCAGUGGGGAAUUUUGGACAAUGGGCGCAAGCCUGAUCCAGCCAUGCCGCGUGAGUGAAGAAGGCCUUCGGGUUGUAAAGCUCUUUCAGCCGGGAAGAAAAGGUUGCGACUAAUAAUCGUAAUUCAU